This 750-nucleotide ribosomal RNA is filed under the name uncultured bacterium. RNAcentral describes it as "bacterial SSU rRNA". It matches the Rfam family "Bacterial small subunit ribosomal RNA", at positions 42 to 792 of the family's 1533-position model. The record is from RNAcentral.
GCAGGCCUAACACAUGCACCGUCGAUUGGGUAACAGGUCUUCGGAUGCUGACGACCGGCGCACGGGUGCGCAACGCGUAUAGAAUCUGCCCCUUACUGAGGAAUAGCCCAGAGAAAUUUGGAUUAAUGCCUCAUGGUAUGUACUGAUGGCAUCGUUAGUACAUUAAAGGUUACGGUAAGGGAUGACUAUGCGUCCCAUUAGCUAGAUGGUAAGGUAACGGCUUACCAUGGCGACGAUGGGUAGGGGCCCUGAGAGGGGGAUCCCCCACACUGGUACUGAGACACGGACCAGACUCCUACGGGAGGCAGCAGUGAGGAAUAUUGGACAAUGGGCGAGAGCCUGAUCCAGCCAUGCCGCGUGCAGGAAGACGGUCCUAUGGAUUGUAAACUGCUUUUGUACGGGAAGAACAAGGAGUACGUGUACUCCUCUGACGGUACCGUAAGAAUAAGGAUCGGCUAACUCCGUGCCAGCAGCCGCGGUAAUACGGAGGAUCCGAGCGUUAUCCGGAAUUAUUGGGUUUAAAGGGUCCGUAGGCGGGCCAUUAAGUCAGGGGUGAAAGUCUGCGGCUCAACCGUAGAAUUGCCUUUGAUACUGGUGGUCUUGAGUUAUGGUGAAGUGGCUAGAAUAUGUAGUGUAGCGGUGAAAUGCAUAGAUAUUACAUAGAAUACCGAUUGCGAAGGCAGGUCACUAACCAUAAACUGACGCUGAUGGACGAAAGCGUGGGUAGCGAACAGGAUUAGAUACCUGGUA